Papaver somniferum (opium poppy) is the source of this 687-nucleotide RNA transcript. It is a transcript of the gene named putative disease resistance protein RGA1, with no coding region annotated. The transcript is spliced from 2 exons. The record is from RefSeq and is a predicted model, not a curated record. NCBI's taxonomy places the organism in Eukaryota, Viridiplantae, Streptophyta, Magnoliopsida, Ranunculales, Papaveraceae.
GAUGAAGAAGAAGAAGGAGUCACUAGUACCACAACAAAAUUAUUCCCUUCGUUAACUGAGUUGUACAUCUGGGAAUCUGAAAACUUAGAAGAAUGGUUUGCACCUAAUAAUUCCUUCCCUUGCCUUGAGAAAGUACGACUCUGUGAUUGUGGUAAUUUGACAUGUAUACCAGAUUUACGAUUAUGGACUUCUGCUCUCAAGCAAUUAACUAUAAAGGGUUGUCAAAAAUUGAAAAAUGAGCAUGUGGCAUUUUAUCUCGACAAAUUCCUCCCAUCUGUUCGAUACCACUUGGAGUGAAAUGAUGAUAACUCCAAUAAUUCGGUAGAGGAUGAGAAGUAAAUCAGCUUGGUCUGCUACGAUUGAUAUAUAUUUAUCAACCAACAACACCAAUAGAGCCAAGUACCAGUUUCUGGAGACUAUUAAAUCAGAGAUGUGUCCAAAAUUGAAGAAACUACCCCUUGGUGUCAAUAUCCGGAUUCCAAAGACGCUGAUAAGAAUUGCAGGAGAAAGCAAGAGUGGGAAGAUGAUGCUGCAAACUCAACUUUUGCUCCUUAUUAUGUGACGGUUAUAUUUGAAGUGAUUUUCCUUUUCCUUCGGUGUAGUCUGUAGUGAGUGAUGACCCUUUUUGGUGUAAUCGAAAACACAUUCCGAUGAAUCUAAUCUAAUAAUCUCCCAAAUCUGUUGAUA